GAGUACAACAACAACAAGCAUGGCGCCAAUAAUGGAUAUUUACGAUUUCACAAUGAACUUUUCGCAAAUUAGCAGUCAGAAUAGCGUUGUAUCAAUGUAUAACGCACACCAUCUUGUACAAUGAACAUUUCUGCACGGAACGCUUGUUACGGUAAUACAAAACUGGGAAUAUUUCAAAAAUCGGAGCCCAGGUUGUUCCAACGACUUUUUUUCGAAUUCAAAAGUUGACGAGAGCCCAUUAAUUUCUCUCAUCCGCCGGUCUGAUUGAGUGUGGGUGGGACAACAACCGAUACUACAUCGAGGCCAUCUCUUUCGCUAUGCAACUCGUCCAGAGAUACGGCAUCGACUGUAAGGCUCGCUCUGCAGUCACUGAGGACAUCGCCUGGAAGUACCUUGUUAGCGCCGCGUACAACAAAAGGGCUCUACAACACCUGUAUGGCAUGCCGUUGAUGGGUCGCCGCCGUUUAGCUCCAAAGUGCACGAUGUUGCCACAAAAGCAAGGUGAACAUGUCUCCCAACCUGUCCACCAAUCAUUUUAUGGGAAACAAACGCUUGUACCAGCACGUCAUCUGCAAUGUUCUACGAGUGUCCCGGAUAGCUUCCAUGGUCUACAAUCAGUUUUCAAACGUUUAGCGAUGCUGACACAGAUGAGAUGCUGGCGUCUGACCAGGAGAUCACGGUGUUCUCAGAGUGGUGUUCUACGCCAGAAUGUGCCGGCAAACAGGGAUGUGGUAAUCUGCGGUGUGCGUUGUGCACCCAGUGCCUGCACGCCUCCCAGAAGGUGACCUUGAGGGAGGCCUACCUGGAACACUACAACAGGGGCGGCUGUCGCAGGCUCAUCCCUCCUGCCAUUGGACAUGAGGAAGCUUUAACAUGGAGCCCAGAGAAUCCAGAUACAGAUGCCUUUGGGCUUCAGAAUCAAACAGAGAGGAAUCGUCUCAUGUAUUUGUGGUUUGUCGGAAUGUGCUGGAAAGACCGCACUUUCUGUCUGUGAUAAUGAGUUGUGAUCUCAUUUAUUUAAGAAACUAAACUAUAGCGUUCCAAAUGAGCCGAGUUAUGGUAAAAUGGGGCUUCAUGCAUGUGCGUAAAGUGUCAUCCCUGAUUAGCCUUCACAUACAGCGCUUCCAGCAUGCACUGAAAAAGAAACUCCUUUUUAGCAAAAAAUACAAUUGAAGUGGAAAGUGUCUUCUCUAAUCUGGGAUGACACUUUACGCACAUGCAUCAAACAUUGUUUCCCCAGAGUGCGGCUCAUAUGUAUUUUGUAUUUUCUAUGCAUUAAAUGGUAUUUUUUUAAUUAUUUAUAUUAAUACAAAAUUAUACAUGCAUAUGGGCAAACUAAUAUAAUAUUUCCACCAAAAAUGUCAAAGAACUUGAAAUACAUCAUAGAGAAAUUACGGCAACUUUUAGGGCGCAAUUUGUUCUAUAUUUUGACUUGUAUUUAUAUAAUAUACUCAUUCUUGUUUAAGUACGCAGUCAGAAAAUUCUUUGUUGUUUAAUAAUACAAUUUUUAUGCAACAUUAUUAUGGUUUUUUUAACACAUUUUUGGAGCAAUUUUAUUAAUCCUUUGCUGUGCUCUCGCUCUUUUGAUAGAGUGCUGCACAACAAAUACCAGAUUUACUUUUGAGUGUUAAUAACAAGUUUCCAUCUAGCAAAAGCUUUAUAUGCCAUGUAUUACCUCAAAGUGCAAAUAUACAUUCCAUUGUGUUCCUUCUCACCCAAAGGUUAGUGAAGUUAGACAUUAUAAAAAGUACAAAUUCAAACUAACACCAAUACUGAUUAAAUAAGUACAAUUUCCUAGAAAUGACAAUGACUCGUGGUUAAACUAUGCAAUUGGAGAAUAAUAUAGCCAUUUGUCAAGGGUAUUGCUUUAGUUUAUUUAUUAUUUUAAUAAUUUUAAUUAAAAGAUUUAAUUGUGUUGUUUUUAGUAAAAAUGCUGCUGGACAGCUUUUUAUAUGUCACAAUUCAUAAUAUUAUUUGCCAUGUUUCAUCAUGUUCUAGGUAUUAAUUAUUAAAAAUAUUUUUUUACAAGUAGUUGUGAAAGGGUUUUGUAAACAAUGUUAAAUUUGUUCCACGUUCAUUUGUUGCUUUACUAUAUUGGCUAUUGUACUAGUUUCAGAUCAUGAAAAUUUAGUUAGAAUCAUUUGUUAUUUAUAUGGAUUUUUAUUUUAUAUGUUUGGUGAUAGCUUUUAUUGUUAUAUGUGUCGGUUUUACUUUGUUUUUUAAGUGUUUGCAUACCUUCAAAGUAUAUUGCAAUCAUGCAAAUUCAUGGUGCGACUAAGCAAGCCUUAAUUCCUAUAUGGCCUUCUCUGUGAAAAAACUGGGCUUUCCGAGUGUGCGUGAAGAGUUGUCCCAGAUGAGCCUAUGCAGUCAGCACUCCACAGGCUAAUCUGUGACAACACUUUACACAAAUGCAUAAAGUCCUGUUUACUCUGAGUGCUGAUAAUAUUCUUAUUUGAGAGCAACAAUUUACAAGCCUGCAUAUAGGAAAAGUGAGAAAGCUCUAUUGAAAACUUAUCUGUACAUGGCUUGUGCAAAUUUUGAUUUCUGUGCCUCAGAUUUACAAUUUAAAACCAGAUGUUAAGCCUGGUUUUUCAAUGAAUAAGGUUUUCCUCUUAUACACACUUGGAACAUUGUUCUAGCCCUUCUUUUGGCAAAACAGGGCUUAAUGCAUUGUGUAAUGUGUGGUCCCAGAUUAGCCCCUGGGGUCUGCACAGGAUAAUCAGGGACGACACUUUCUGUUAAAUUGGAAAGAAAAUAAAAGGUAGUCUCUUCUUAACAAAAAUAAAGUCUAGGCAAAAAGUGUCUUCCCAGAUUAGCCUGUAAGGGCUGCACAAGCUAAUCUGGAUCGACCCUUUAGGCACAUACAAUUUCCCAGAGGGCUGUUCAUUUAUUUAAAUGCUCAGGGGUCGUAUUCCAGAAGCAUCUUAAGUUAAAUUGUAUUCUUAUCCUUAAAGUGGGAUAAAUUUUUAAGUGUUUCAUUUCAUAUUGCAAUUGUUUGGCAUCAAAAUUUACAUGAAAAUAACUUCAUUAUGUCAAUGUUAUUUUAGGAAUACCAAAAAAUGAUGUAUUUCCUCAUUAAGUAAAGAAAUACAAAACAUUGUAAUUUUGACCUUAAGUGAAAUUAUUUAAGAAAUUACUUAAGAUGUCUUUUGAAUACCACCCCUAAUGAAUGGAAGCACAGCCGUUAUUUAAUGGGACUUUUCAUUUAAGCAUCUAGAUAUCCUUUUUACUUGUUAGAUUUAACUUCACUAUAACAAGGUUGCACUUUUUCAAAGAUAAGUAGGAAGCUACUCAGUAAGUAUCAACUCUGUUAUCAUCUUCAUUUACGUCUUGUUAUAUGUGUUAGAUGCAUCUAUAUUGUGGCGUCCGUCAGGAUGGGUUUAUUCGUUUUCUUUGUGAGUUAUAUUCUUACAACAAGACUGGCGGCAGUUUAAAUAAUAUAUUUAUUUAGUAGGUUUAAUAUGUUAUUGCAAAAUUAGACAAGUUUGGUGGACACUUUCUCGGAAACACGUUACAAGUUAUUUUUAGUUACCCAAGAUGUUUUUACUCACUUUACUGCCCAGACAAGUGGAGCUACCAAGAUGGAAGUUGUGCUGUCAAAUUCAAAUUCUAGCGCCCUUAUAUACUUUCUGGAAAGUGCCCACGUGACCUUAACUGACCAAUGACCAUAUGACAGCCUGCCAGCAUAAUAACAAUAAACCAAUAGGAUUCUGACAGCUCGGGAAUCAUCCAACAGAAUCCGUCAGAAUCCACAAUGAUGCUGGCAAAUUCUGUGUCAUAGCGGCCAUGACAGGUCAGAUUUAUGCAUAACAUUUACAUAAUAAUGCAUAAAUAUGGCUUGUCAAUAAACAACAGGAUCGAAAUGGAAACAAUACACAUAAUACUAAUAGUUCUGUUAGUGCAGUUAAUAAUUCGUGGUAUUACGGAAUAAGUCAUGGAAAUGAAAUGGAUUAUUGUGUUAAAAGGAUGUAAACAAUGGACAUUGCAAGCCUUACACGAAUAACAAGGUAAGUGCAAUUAUCAUCAUCAUCAUCAUAAUCAUUAGUAGUAUAACUUUGGAAACUGCAUUCCACGUAAGUAUAACAGUAAACAAUAAAGCAUUUAAGCAUAUAAUGGGUGUGGGGGUGGGUCAUUACAAUAUGUAUGAUUGUUAUAUGUGUUAGAUGCAUCUAUAUGUAUGAUUGUUAUAUGUGUUAGAUGCAUCUAUAUGUAUGAUUGUUAUAUGAGUUAGAUGCAUCUAUAUGUAUGAUUGUUAUAUGUGUUAGAUGCAUCUAUAUGUAUGAUUGUUAUAUGUGUUAGAUGCAUCUAUAUGUAUGAUUGUUAUAUGUGUUAGAUGCAUCUAUAUGUUUGAUUGUUAUAUGUGUUAGAUACAUCUAUAUGUAUGAUUGUUAUAUGUGUUAGAUGCAUCUAUAUGUAUGAUUGUUAUAUGUGUUAGAUGCAUCUAUACGUAUGAUUUUGCCUAUGAAUGGGCAUUCAUCAAAUAUUGUUGUACUUUAUUUGUGUUAACUGAAGUAUUUGUUUUAAUAUAUAUUUACUGGUAUAUGCUUUUUACAAUCUAUUAAAAGAUAUACAUUGAAUCAAAUUAAAAAUCUAAUUUCUCUAGUUAAACUCUAGGAUUGUCAUUUGUAAUAAAUAACUCUUUCAAACGAAGACAUAUCAUAUUGUGGUCUUGUUAUAAGAAUUGUUGUUGAUUUGUGAAAAUGGCAUGGCAUGAAAAAGCUUAUUUUAUUUCUGGUUAACUUGUACCAUACCUAUGCAAUACCUUACCUAUAACCCUUACAUAUUAUUUUUUAUAUUAGAAAAUAUUAAUGAAUACCAUUAUAUGAAGUCUUAUUUGUCUGCUUAAAUGGCUAAGUUUGUUAUUUAUAGGUGUUUUGACACUUUUUAGAUCUGUUGUUAUUAUUUCACAGUUUGAUAUUCAGGUAUAGUGUAAUGGUUUGUUUAAUUGUAUAUACAAUGCAGCCUUUAAAUUAAUACAUGUUAGAAGGUAUGUUGUUGAAUAAACAAAUAAACUCAGGGCUUCAAAUCAUUCCGAAGUUAAAAAGUUAUCAACAAUUACUUCUUUAGUUGUACACUUAAUCAAGUACCUGUCAUUUACCCACUGAUAUGUACUUUAACAUGCCCCCACUUGUGUUACCCUUUAACAUGUCUGCACUUGUGUUACCCUUUAACAUGCCUGCACUUGUGUUACCCUUUAACAUGUUCCCACAGUAGUCUCCCACUUGUGUCACCCUUUAACAUUCUCCCACUUGUGUUACCCUUUAACAUUCCCCUACUUGUGUUACCCUUGUGUUUUUACCAUCAUUCCUCCUGAGCCAUCUAUCAAAAAGUUAUUUGUUCAAUGUUGUAUAUUUGUAUUGAGAUUGUCAUGUUUAAAUAUAUGUUGAAAUUUAUGUAUACAUUUUAAACACACAAUCUGUCAAAAUGUGUCUCGGAAUUUACAAAUAUCUACAUUUACCUUGUAUUUUCACGAGAAUUUUAUUGUAUUGUUAAGUGUCAUUGUUCUUGCUUUAUAGAUAUAGAUAUUAAUCAAAUGGGUUGUUGCCUUACAAUCAGACAAGCAAUUCAGGACAAAUGUUGCCUUAUUGUUUCGAUCUGCAAAAUAUGUAUAUUAUUUACCUACUUUCUUUCUCUGUUAAAGUUAUACUUUGUAGAUGAUUUUGUGCCAUUUACAUUAUUAUAAAUAAACCCUGCUCUGGGAAUUCCGGGCACAUGCUUUAAGCCCUGUUUUUCCAGAACGAGGCUCAAAUGCUUUUAGAAUGUGUUAAAUAUAAUCACGAUAUCUUUGACGCCUGUUCAAUUUCUGUUGUGAAUUGAACGGCACAUUUUAUACAUGGAAAACAGAAUACAAAAUUGAGAUGUUUUA
This is an RNA transcript of Dreissena polymorpha, 5866 nucleotides long. RefSeq lists it as uncharacterized. NCBI's taxonomy places the organism in Eukaryota, Metazoa, Mollusca, Bivalvia, Myida, Dreissenidae. The transcript has 7 exons. The record is from RefSeq and is a predicted model, not a curated record.